GCAGGUGUGGGAACAACUGGAAGCAAAAGGGGCGGGGCACUGAGGGACCCAGGCCUGGCUCCCACCCACAGCUGAGCCCAUUCUCUCCAGUGCUGACCCCCAGCUCUGGCCCCAGGACGAUCUCCUCCCUGCACACCCCUUACCCAGGAGUCAGGGAGCCAGGCGGGUUGGGUGGGAGGUGCAGAUAGGGACCCUCUUCAUGCACCCCUCCCAUUUGGGUUCAGGCCCUCCCACACUCCCGGCUCACAUCUUCUCCUUUGUUCUCUUCUUGCCCCACCCGACCUACAGCCUGGGGGAAAAUUAACCCACCGAGGUGCUGCUCUAUUUGCACCCUUCAGCCUUUUAUGUGUAAGGGGGAUGUUGGGGAAGCAGCUGGCAGCUUUCCUGCCUCCAGACUCCUCAGCUUCUGGGCCAAGAAGGGCCAAACUCUUGACCUGCCCUACUGGCAAUGCGCCCCCAGCACCCUCACCCACACCCCUCCCCCUACAUUCCAGCAGCCCUCUGGAGUCUACUCUUACCUCCUAGACACACACACACACACACACACACACACACACACACACACACACGAGGCACCUCCGGUUAAACAACCUUUGUCCACCUUUGUCCUGGGCCUCCUCUCUCCCUCGGGCUCCAUGCUUAGGAAUGCACCUGGGAGGCUGCCAGCAAAGGCCAAGGGGCCUCUGGGUCCCAGGCUAGCACCCCACUGCACCUCACAGGGGCAGGCAGGCCUCCAAAGGCUCUUCUGGAAUCCAAAAAGCCACUUCCUCGCUAAGCCUCUGGUUUCCCAUCUGCAAAGUGGGGAUGAUGAUUCCUGCUGCCCUUCCUGACUGAGCUGUCAGAGGAUCCAGGCUUCUAGGGGGCAGGGAAAGCUCGCAGCUCCUCACAGUGAUCUGGCUGAAACUGGGGGCUCCUGACUGAGCUCCCUCCCACCUAGAAAACCUUCCAUGCAGCCUGAUUGCUCCAACACCCACAGAGCAGGAUUCAGGUAACCUGGAGACCUUGGCACGCCAGGCUUGGGGCAGUGGGGACUGGGGCUCCACUCAGACCUCUAUGGGGCAAAUGUUUUGUUUCUCAGAACAGCCCAAGUGAAAUCAAUCCUAGACACUCGCCAUUUGGUCCCACCAAGACCAUUUAAUUUCUCUGUAAAAGUAAGCUGACAUGGAAGAACCAACUGUGAAAAUGGUGAGGUGGGAGUCUGAAUCGAUUUAGCUGUUCUCAGGGGGCACAGGGUGUUGAGGGUGGUUUUCAUCUGCCACCUGCCUCCUUGAGACCCAGCUGACCUGAGUGUGCAUGAAAUAAGACCUUCUCCUUGUGUCCACCAGGCUUGAGGGCACCCCUAAGUACCCGGCUCCUCGUCACAGCAGCAGCCCUCUCGGUUCCACAUCUGGUUCUCCUGCCGAAGCCUCUGGUUCUCGGUCCGGAGCCUCUCGACCUCAGCGGCCAGCUCCUCCACCUGGCGGCAGGACUGCUGGCCUGUGCAUGCCUGCAGCUGCUGCAGCCUCCUGGUCUCCUCCUCGGCCUGCGACAGCCGCUUCUCCAGCUCCAGGUAGUCUCGCACCAGCUCUUGCUUGCUGCGGCCAUGCAGGCUCUCGGUGCGGAAGCGCUCGUAAGCCUCAGAGAAGUCCCUCUGCUGGAACUCACCGUGCGCUCGGCCCCGCCCGUCACUGUCCCCAGCCUCACUCUCCCCACUGGAACCUGGGUGGGAGACCCCAGGGGGCACAUCCAAGUUGGGCUCUUCUGGAUCUCGGUCAUUCAUCAGGAACUGGGUGGUGUUGUAGGGGGCCACGGGCUGGCCUUUGGCGAACAUCUGUUCUCGGACCCGGGACGCCCUCUGGCUCUGCCUCUCAUCCCGCUGUUGUUUCUCAGCCCAGCUCAGCUCCAGGUAGGGCCGCCAGUGCCGUCUGCGCUUCGACGGCCGCCGACGGUGUUUCUUCCGGGCCAGUACGGCCUCUGCUGAGCAGCCCUCUGAGCUCCGGGUCCAGGGACUCCUACUGUUCCAGCCCAGGCCUCCAACAGCCCCAGCAAGAUCUUCAUCCUCUGAGUGGCUCUCUACCCGGGGUGUCAGGGGCAGGGAACCACCAGAGUCAUGAGGCUCAGGGGGUGUUUGGGGACUCCCUGGGGCACCAGAGGUCUAAAGAGAGAGAGGAGGAAGAAGGAUGGAUCAGACAGCCUGUCCCUGGAGAUGGAACCCUUCCCUCUCUACCCAGCGUGAAGCCAACCUUCCCACACUCAGUUAACUUGGUCACUCUUAGCCCCUCACCCUUUUGCAACCAUUUGUUUACAAAGUUACCUGUCUACUGUCUGUCCCCCAGCCUUCCCCAAGUAAACUCAUGGUGACAGCAG
Long non-coding RNA from Cebus imitator (Panamanian white-faced capuchin), 2346 nucleotides. RefSeq lists it as uncharacterized. NCBI's taxonomy places the organism in Eukaryota, Metazoa, Chordata, Mammalia, Primates, Cebidae. The record is from RefSeq and is a predicted model, not a curated record. The transcript has 2 exons.